This 497-nucleotide ribosomal RNA is filed under the name uncultured bacterium. RNAcentral describes it as "partial 16S ribosomal RNA". It matches the Rfam family "Bacterial small subunit ribosomal RNA", at positions 29 to 507 of the family's 1533-position model. The record is from RNAcentral.
AAUGAACGCUGGCGGCGUGCCUAACACAUGCAAGUCGAACGAACAGAUCAGGAGCUUGCUCCCCUGACGUUAGCGGCGGACGGGAGAUUCACACGUGUAUCACAUACCUCUAAGACUGGGAUGAUUACGGCAAAUCGUAGCUUAUACCGUAUAAUAUAUUGCACCGGAUGGUUCAUUAGUUAAAGACGGUUUUGCGGUCUGUAAUAGAUGAAUCCGGGCCGCAUUAGCUAGUUGGUAAGGAAACGGCUUACCAAGGCUACGAUGCGUAGCCGACCUGAGAGGGUGAUCCGCCACACUGGAACUGAGACACGGUCCAGACGCCUACGGGAGGCAGCAGUGGGGAAUCUUGCGCAAUGGGCGAAAGCCUGACAGAGCAACGCCGCGUGAGUGAUGAAGGCCUUCGGAUCGUAAAGCUCUGUUGUUAGGGAAGAACAAAAGUGGAUUUAUACGGGCUGGUCUUGACGGUACCUAAAGAAUAAGCCCCGGCUAACUACGUG